Coregonus clupeaformis (lake whitefish) is the source of this 5006-nucleotide long non-coding RNA. RefSeq lists it as uncharacterized. Lineage: Eukaryota; Metazoa; Chordata; Actinopteri; Salmoniformes; Salmonidae. The record is from RefSeq and is a predicted model, not a curated record. The transcript has 26 exons.
CCUCAGUCACUCAAACAACCGCGACAGAGAAGGAGACUCUGUCCCAGAUUUUGCAAGAGAAGGAUCAGCUCCAAUGAGAACAGGACAGGAUUAAGAAUGUAACCAAACUUCUAGUCACCUCCUCAAACUUUGUUUCCAUCAAAAAGAUGCCUAAACGGAGGGUUACGUGGGGUGGAAAACUGACAUCACCAGCCUUCCACCAUGCUGGAUUGUCUGAGCUAAGCUUUGCUGAGCCUUUUCUCAAAAAGAGAAAAGCUGAUAUGUAUGUCUUGACAGAGCAGAAUGAGGAUGGCGAUGAGUUAGAUUCUACCUUUGACAUGGAGAUGAAUCAGAGCAGUGUGACUGCAUAGUUUUGCAGAAAGUGAAUUUUUAACUCCAAACCAGCUGAACAAAUUGUCUGAGAAGGUGUCCCGUCUGGAGAUCCUGCUGGAAAAUGAGGCUCAGCAGAUGCAGGAGGCCAUGGAGGAAGUGGAGACUUUCGAGAGGAGGGUCGCCGAACUGGAGAUGCAGCUAGAGGAGAAGUUGCAAAUGCCCACUGAUGCACAGCUGGAAAACGAAGUUCAGCAGAACCAGGAGGCCAUGGUAAAGGUGGUUGCUGAACUGGAGAAGAUGCUAGAGGAAAAGUCUCACAUUUCCACUGAAUCACGGGAGCAGAUGAAAAGGGGAUUUGAGGAGACUAUUCAACUCUGUGAGACGUUGGUUCUGAGAAGGUCGCAGUUAACCUGGUUAAAUAAAGGUGAAAUAAAAAUAAAAUAAAAUAAAAAGAGAUGGAUGAGUUCAAUUCUCUGGAAGAGGAGAGCAAAAUAGAAUAUGAGGUAAUACAGACUGCUGCGUAGAUUGCCUAGAUAUGUCAAAAGAUAUAUAACCAACUUAUUUCAAUGUAGAAGUUAAGCAAAUUGGAAUGUACUAUGUAUGGCAUAAGACAAUUGCAAGUCCAUGAAUGUCAUAGGGACUUACUAUAAGUCAUUAAAAUGACUUGCACUUUGGAAAUGCUCCCUUGUUGGUUUGUGCUUGUAACCUUUUGUAUAACUCUUGGUCCAACAAGUGAAGCAGCUGCGACGCUCUCUGGAUGAUGCUGAGGGGCUGAGCACUAAGAAGGAGUGGGCCCACCUGCACAGUGAAAAGAUCUCACUCAAAGAGAGGGAUGCAUGUGUCUUCUUCCUCAGUGUCAGUUUGCAGCCUGUAUUUAAAUGCAAACUGCACUCAAUGGAUUGACAAUUAUCAUGUUGUAUUGGCCUUAAUUCUGUGCUCUGGCCUUGCUUUCAGGUCACACUAACUGCUGGCUAUGAGAGGAUGGAAGCUGAGGUGAAUGGCCUUCACUAUCAGUUUGAGACAGAGAAAUCUUGCUUCAAAAAGAUGCAGGUUGACCUUCAGAGGGAGUUACAGGGAGCCUUUGAAGAGAACACCAAGCUUACUACUCUCCUGGAUGAAAAAGUUUCCAAAAAUCUCAUAGACCGCAUUGAACUUGAAAAAAGUUGCUGGCCUGAAGAAAGAGCUGGAGAAGUCUCAUGAAGAUGAGAGAACCCUACAAGCUAAGAUCGAGGAUUUGCGUGCACUGCAGGAUCUUCCAGAUAAAGUGGACAGUUUGAUGAAGCAGGUAUGUGAUCUCAAUGAGGAGCUGUGUGCAGUCCAAAUAGAGAGAGAGAGCCUGGUGUCUGCUAAGGCCUGCAGUAAGGAGGAAGCUCAACAACUCAGAGAAAAUGUCCAGAGUGCCCAGGAGCAGCUAGUCAAACUGCAAGAUGACCUGAGCAAAGCAGAGUUGAGGGAAAAAGACCUAACCCAUCAGUGCACCAACAUCACUGAACAAAAGGAGACUCUCCGUAAGGACUUGGUGCGCUCCUCUGUGGAGAACAGUCGGCUUCUUACUACUGUGGAAUAGUCCAGCCUGAGACUGAAGGAGAUUGAUGAUCGUCGGGCAUUAAUUGAAUAUAAAUUGUGUGGAAUGCAACAAGUCAUGAAAGACUUGAAGGAGAAGCUUGCUAACAGUGAAUCAUCCAAGGAACAAAAUGACAAUCUGUCCCAAGAACACCAAGAUCAGAUAAGGCAGCUGAGUGAGGAGCUUGAGUCUGUGUGAGCUGAGCGAGAGAGUCUCCUGUCUGAGAAGACAGACAGUUCUCAGAAUCAUGCAGGGGAGUUGGAGAAUCUGCUCUCUACUGUGACCUCACUGACUGAAGAGAGAGACCAGCUCCAGGAGAUACUGUGGGGAGUCAGAGAUGAGAGGAACCAGCUCAAGAGAGACCUGGGGGAGAAUGUGGAGAUGAUUAUUGAAAACCAGGAGGAGCUAAGGGUGGCCCUUGAAAAGAUUCACCAUCAAGAGGAAAAUAUAAAACAUAUGGAUAUGCCCAUCUAGUUGAACUGCAAAGUCAGAUGAAGCAGCUGAAUGAGGAGCUUGAGUCGGUGCGAGCUGAGCGAGAGAGUCUCCUGUCUGAGAAGACAGACAGCCCUCAGAAUCAUGCAGAGGAGUUGGAGAAUCUGCUCUCUACUGUGACCUCACUGACUGAAGAGAGAGACCAGCUCCAGGAGAUACUGUGGGGAGUCAGAGAAGAGAGGAACCAGCUCAAAAGAGACCUGGAGGAGAAUGUGGAGAUGUCCAUCAAAGUCCAGGAGGAGCUGAAACAGCAGCAACAUCUCAACUCUAAACAGCAGGCUGAGACAGAACAAGAAACAGCCCAACUUCAGCAACAAAUACAGCAGCUAGAGGAGGAACACGCACACAUGAAAGAUGAGAGCCCAGCUUCAAAGAGAGCUUCAAAGAGACCUGCAGGAAAAUAUGGAGAUGGUCAUACAGGUCCAGAGGAUAUUAGAACAGCAGCAACAUCUGAACACAGAACAGCAGGCUGAGAGAGAACAACACAAGGCCCUACUUAAACAACAAGUCCAGCAUCUUGAAGAGCAGUUGGAGACAGUGAAAGAUGAUAGGAGCCUGGUCAAGAGCAGCCUUCAGGACAAUAUGGACAUGAUGAAGCAGCUGAAAGAAGAAUUGCAAGGUUUCAAAGAAGGACAGUCUCAUUUCGAAGUCGAAGCAGAAACCUCACAAGAUGCUUAGUGAUGCGAAUGUGACCAUCUCCAUAUUGACAGAUCAGAUCAAUAACCUGGAGCAGAGCACUAACUGUGGUACCACCAGUGCAGCAGAGGGAAUGUGCUCCAGACUGGCGGCUUCUACUCAGCAGCUCCAGGCGUCCUUCGUAAGGCUCCAGCUUGUUAUCAAUGGUGCUUCAAAGCCUGGACAUGGGCCCCUGGUCGAAGUUGAAGUAGUAAUGAUACUAAAACUGUUGCCCCUUCUUCCAAAACCCACAAAAAAGAUCUGUAGCAAUGUCAAUAGAUCUACAGUCCAGAUAACUAAUGCGGGUUGGGAUACAAAGGUAUGAAUAAUCACACGGUCAUAAUAGUUUCUAUUUAAUUUUGAACUGCGAUAGUAAACGCAGUUUGCUAAAUUGAGUCAAAACAUUUUCGGUGCUGCUGAAGCUGUUUGCCAAGGAUUACAAAACCCACUUUGAAGCCCUGGUCCAGAAUGACUUGGCUGUAUUUGAGGAGAGGAGACUGCAGGACCUGCUCCUCUGUAGAGCCCAGGCACUCAGUCAAGGUGGCUGAGAACGACUUCCUUGGAGUCUGGGACCAGAGACUGUCAGAGCUGCAUACUGUAUGUUGUGAAACUAAUCGUUUUAUAUCAUGGGUUAUCAGAAAAUGAAUAGUGUUUUGGUGAAGCUUGAGGAGCGCCUGGCCACUCACCCAGCAGCGUUGUCAGAGGAGCUGAGGGCGCGAGAGAAGAGCAACGAGGAGCUGAGUGCUCUAAGCAUGGUCCACUCACCUGACUCGUCAGCUGUGGAGAGCUUCCUGGAGCGAGCUGGCCCGGCGCUCUGCCGUGGCACAGGCCAACACACAGGCUCUCCAGGGAUUGCGAGAUGAGCGCCGCGGUCUGCUAAAAGAGCUAGGCGUGGUCCGAGCACAGGCUAACAGUCAGCUGAAAGAAGAGAGGCGUAAGACCUUUACUUUGCUGCAGAUACUGAAGAAUGCCCCAGUCAAGACUGAAGCUGAUCUGCUGAGGGACAACCAGCAACUUGCCCUGCAUUGUCAGCAGUUGGAGAGCGAAAUCAAGGAAAUGCAGAUGAGAGUUGAGCAGCUGGAAGAGCACCAGAUCAAAGCUACUAAUAGGGUCUCGAACCACAAACAAGCCACCCAGCUCCUACAAACUGAGCUUCAGGAUGCUUGUGCACAAGUCAAGGAUAGGGAGGGCUCCAUCCAAAUCCUCAAUGAGAAACUCAGAGAGACUGACGUAAAGGUUGGAGCAAGGUUCUGGCCAAGAACAGAGCAUCACCUAGUGCUCUUGAGCUUGAAAAGCUGAAGGCUAAAGUUGUGAAAAUGGAGAUGGAGAUGACUGCAUCGUCCUCUAAACACCAAGAAGAGUUACUGAGUAUGACCACGGUCCUGAACCACAAGGAGGACACUGAGGACACUGAAGGAGACUGAGAAGAUCACAGCAGGAGGGAGAACAGUCAUUCAUGGGGGGAGAGGAUCUGCAUGCCAGACUGACAACCGCCAGAGGACGUACGGUCCAAAGCAACAUUCUCGUUGAAAAUAACAAACUUGAGGAGGAAGUGAAACGGCUACAGAGGAUAAUUUCUGAAUUGGAGAGCUUUGUGUCCACUCAGCAAGGAGAGAUCACCAAGUGGAAGGCUAGAGCAGUUAAGCUGAAGGAGAAGAGGGACGUGGUAGAAACGCCUCUAUCUCCAUGUACUUCUACAAAACGAAGCAUUCCCAUGAGUUCUGAGGACGUCAACUCUCCCAUGAAGUUCCUUCACUCUCCCAUGAAGUUCCUCGACUCGCCCAAGAGCAAGUUUUUUUAUGUCCAUCCAGGCUCUGAAUCAAUGUCGAUUAAUUGUCCCAAGCAGUUUUUUGAUAACUCCAACCUUGGAACCAUUCAAGAUGCAACUGUAGAUAAAAGGGAGGAAUGGUGGCCUCUGUCACCAAAGCAAGCUGAUUUAUGCAAACAACAAUAAAUUAUUUAC